CAGGUUAUGCCAGGAUAACUGGGACCCCGUGAGCUAAGAAUGAAGCUGAACCCUUGCCACUCACCACGGUACAAAAAUUAACUCAAAAUGGAGCAAUGACCUCAAUAUCAGAGCUUAAAUAAGAUAUUUUAAAGAAGCACAGCAUUAUGUCUCCAUGCUAGAUUUUGCAAAGGAUUUGUAUACCUGACAAGUGUGAACAACAAAAGAAAAAAUAGAUGUUGGACUGUAAAUUUUUAAAAUCUAUGCAUCAAGGGACAUUAUCGGGUCAGAACCAAAACAACAGAGUAGUGUCAGCAGCAAAAUUCAUGUUCUCUGAAACCUGGAAGCCAGAUCCCUGGAGAAUAUCUUGGUGAGGAGAAAAAGAAAUAGAUCUCUGGGAAUCAGGAAGGAAAAUUAGAAGCUACAGAGAAGUUAGAAAAACAGACCACAAUGCAGAGAAAUGAAUGAAGCAGCCUGGGAGCUUAGCUGGCUCCUGGGAAUGGGGAACCUAUUUCCGCAGACACAGUGUAAGCCCCCAGGGUUCAGAGCUCCAGGGAGAACAGCGGACUAGGCCCGCAGUGCUGCCCCAGGAGGGGCCCAUGAGUGUUGUGACCUGUAGAAGCAGCAUGUGGCUUUGCUUCCAGGUGACUCCACUUGGCAGGCAGCAGCUGGAGGGGGAAUCCCGAGCAACACCUGCCACAUGACCAGAGAGUGUAAGUCAGGUGUCAUUCUGGGAAGGGUUAUGUAAGACAGAGAAAGUGCACAGCUUGAGGGUUCCCAGUGUGACUCCUGCAGUGAUUUGACAAGAGACAACUGCGGGAGACAGCUUGCGGAGAGGGACUGGGCCAGAAAUGGACAACCUCGGAAGUUUAAGUAUGAAGCUUUGAUGUUAUUCUGCUGCGAGCACAGCUUUGGUCAUGCACACAGUUACUUUUGGAUGAAAGGUGUUCUAUUUCAGUCUCUAGAAAACAUACUUCAAAUUAAUUUUUAAGGCAUGUAAAAUACAAGAAUUAUGAAGCCAUGGAAAAUCAUGAAGUCACGGAAGGUUCCACUCAAAUUUUUAAAAACAGCCUGGAUGCCCAGAUCUAUUAGCUGGCCUUUCUGCUUUAGCAAAUUCAAAAGAGAAAUUUCUGUAUAAUCCUGAAACUGAAUAGAACAGCAUUGGAUAUACUGUAUAUCUACAAAGCACAUUCUAAGAAUCAUCAGCCUGCUGAUACGGACUUGCACGGACACU
Molecule: long non-coding RNA, 1213 nt
Organism: Chinchilla lanigera (long-tailed chinchilla)
Lineage: Eukaryota; Metazoa; Chordata; Mammalia; Rodentia; Chinchillidae
Exons: 6
Source: RefSeq, a predicted model, not a curated record